Molecule: ribosomal RNA, 483 nt
Filed under: uncultured bacterium
Lineage: Bacteria
Description: bacterial SSU rRNA
Rfam family: Bacterial small subunit ribosomal RNA
Source: RNAcentral
GACGAACGUUGGCGGCGUGCUUAAUACAUGCAAGUCAACUGAAGCACCGGUAGUAAUACUGGUGUGGAGGUGGCGCACGGGUGAGUAACACGUAGGUAAUCUGCCUUCAGGUCUGACAUAACCCCGAGAAAUCGGGGCUAAUAGCAGAUGAUGCAGCGGCUUGACAUCAAGACAGUUGUUAAAGCUUCGGCGCCUGAAGAUGAGCCUGCGUCUGAUUAGCUAGUUGGCGGAGUAAUAGCCCACCAAGGCGACGAUCAGUAGCUGGUCUGAGAGGAUGAUCAGCCACACUGGAACUGAGACACGGUCCAGACUCCUACGGGAGGCAGCAGUAAGGAAUAUUGCUCAAUGGGAGAAAUCCUGAAGCAGCAACGCCGCGUGAGGGAGUGAAGGGCUUUUGCUCGUAAACCUCUGUAGUGAGGGAAAAAUUUCCAUUCUAUGGAAUAUGAUGGUACCUCAAAGUAAGCCCGGCUAACUACGUGCCAG